UACGGAGGGUGCGAGCGUUGUUCGGAUUCAUUGGGCGUAAAGGGUGCGUAGGCGGCGCGGUAAGUCGGAUGUGAAAUCUCGGAGCUUAACUUCGAAACUGCAUUCGAUACUGCCGUGCUUGAGGACUGGAGAGGAGACUGGAAUUUACGGUGUAGCGGUGAAAUGCGUAGAUAUCGUAAGGAAGACCAGUGGCGAAGGCGGGUCUCUGGACAGUUCCUGACGCUGAGGCACGAAGGUCAGGGGAGCAAACGGG
RNAcentral lists this ribosomal RNA (253 nucleotides) under uncultured bacterium. Its description in RNAcentral is "partial 16S ribosomal RNA". It matches the Rfam family "Bacterial small subunit ribosomal RNA", at positions 524 to 776 of the family's 1533-position model. The record is from RNAcentral.